Non-coding RNA from Salmo salar (Atlantic salmon), 913 nucleotides. The record is from RefSeq and is a predicted model, not a curated record. NCBI's taxonomy places the organism in Eukaryota, Metazoa, Chordata, Actinopteri, Salmoniformes, Salmonidae.
CUCCUCCUCUGGGACACUGCCUUUAUGAAACCAAACACAUAGUUGUUAAAUCUAGUUACAGCAGGUGUUUACUGCCAUCUAGUGGAAGAUACCAAUAAAACACUUUAUUUUCAGGGUGGGGAGGCGGCUGAUUGAAACAGAAAGUUAAGUUGUUCUUUUGUACAGAAUCCAUUUUGAGACGACAGAGCAGAAGACGCUAUAUGGAGAUUACUGACAAAUAAAGAUCCAUUUUGAGACGACAGAGCAGAAGACGCUAUAUGGAGAUUACUGACAAAUAAGGGUCAGUGCUCUAAAAUGAGUCUCUCUGGGGAGAGAGAGGAGGGGGCCCUGCCUCUAAAAUGCAUCUCUCUGGGGGACAUGACACCAAAGCUAAGAGCGCCCGGCCCGGGAUUCAAACCAGCCACCUUUCAGCCACAGGUCCAACUCCUGCCACAGCUCCAACUCCUUAAUCGCUGGGCGAAAACCUGAGUUAAUCUUGGGAAAUUAGCAUAAAUUAAUCUGCCAAAAUGAAGACAAAAUGCUUUGGAGACAUACAUGGUAUCACUUGUUAUACAUAAGUAUUAUACAUAAAUCAUUGCCAAAAGCACAGGACAUAUAUUAUUUAUGGAUUGAUCAUAUCAAAUAUCAAAACAUUAUUUUAACUACUACAAAGCAUUUACAUGUGGCUCAGGAACCACUGACUCACUGCAUUGUUCUAUAGUAUUAUCAAGACACCUGCUGUUAACUCUUAACUACUUAGGACAGCUCACGAGGUGUUCUAAAUAUCUGCUGACUAGGUGGGACUAGAGAUUUCAUGCAUAGCUUUAAUUUAUUCCCCGAAGUGUCAAAUGUCUUUAUUCUCAGCACUUAUACGACCACUUCUCUACUCUGAGACGCUUUGUGGAUAUGGGCCUAGAUCUCAAAAUAUUGUUAU